GACGGAGGGUGCUAGCGUUGUUCGGAAUCACUGGGCGUAAAGGCGCGUAGGCGGCCAGGCAAGUCGGCUUGUGAAAGCCCGGGGCUCAACCCCGGAGGUGCGGCCGGGACUGCUUGGCUGGAGGCCGGAAGGAGGAGGGUGGAAUACCCAGUGUAGAGGUGAAAUUCGUAGAUAUUGGGAUGGAACACCGGUAGGCGGAAAGCGGCUCCUCUGGUCCGGACCUGACGCUGAGGCGCGAAAGCGUGGGGAGCAAACAGG
RNAcentral lists this ribosomal RNA (258 nucleotides) under uncultured bacterium. RNAcentral's name for it is "partial 16S ribosomal RNA". It matches the Rfam family "Bacterial small subunit ribosomal RNA", at positions 524 to 776 of the family's 1533-position model. The record is from RNAcentral.